This 412-nucleotide ribosomal RNA is filed under the name Boophis quasiboehmei. RNAcentral's name for it is "partial 16S ribosomal RNA". It matches the Rfam family "Bacterial large subunit ribosomal RNA", at positions 2026 to 2597 of the family's 2925-position model. The record is from RNAcentral. Lineage: Eukaryota; Metazoa; Chordata; Amphibia; Anura; Mantellidae.
CCUCUAAUCAGUGAAACUGAUCUCCCCGUGAAGAAGCGGGGAUAUACAUAUAAGACGAGAAGACCCCAUGGAGCUUUAAACCUGACAGCACCCGCUCAUUCUAUACCCCAUUAUUUGCCCGACCCCUGUCUGCUCAGUUUUAGGUUGGGGUGACCACGGAGUAUAAAAUAACCUCCAUGAAGAAGGGGAUAUUUCCCUUAUUAGAGAACCACACUUCCAAGAACUAAUAAAUUAAUUUUCAAUGACCCGAUACCCGAUAAUCGAUCAACGAACCAAGUUACCCUGGGGAUAACAGCGCAAUCCACCCUGAAAGCCCUUAUUAACAGGUGGGUUUACGACCUCGAUGUUGGAUCAGGGUAUCCCAGUGGUGCAGCAGCUACUGAGGGUUCGUUUGUUCAACGAUUAAAACCCU